RNAcentral lists this ribosomal RNA (402 nucleotides) under uncultured Glomus. RNAcentral describes it as "SSU rRNA". It matches the Rfam family "Eukaryotic small subunit ribosomal RNA", at positions 569 to 978 of the family's 1831-position model. Lineage: Eukaryota; Fungi; Glomeromycota; Glomeromycetes; Glomerales; Glomeraceae. The record is from RNAcentral.
AGCAGCCGCGGUAAUUCCAGCUCCAAUAGCGUAUAUUAAAGUUGCUGCAGUUAAAAAGCUCGUAGUUGAAUUUCGGGAUCAAUAUGUUGGUCGUGCCUUGGUACGUACUAGCUCAUUGGUUUCUCCCUUCUGACGAACCAUGAUGUCAUUAAUUUGAUGUCAUGGGGAAUCAGGACUGUUACUUUGAAAAAAUUGAGUGUUUAAAGCAGGCUCGCGCUUGAAUACAUUAGCAUGGAAUAAUGAAAUAGGACAUUUGAUUCUAUUUUGUUGGUUUCUAGGAUCGAUGUAAUGAUUAAUAGGGAUAGUUGGGGGCAUUAGUAUUCAAUUGUCAGAGGUGAAAUUCUUGGAUUUAUUGAAGACUAACUACUGCGAAAGCAUUUGCCAAGGAUGUUUUCAUUAAUC